AGCACAUAGAGUCCAAAUAUAAUGGUAUCUAAAAUAAAAACUAGUCAAGUUUCAAAGAUGAGAAGGCUAGUUUAGUCCAAAAUAAUAGCACAUGUAAUGACGGAGUAUUAACCAUCAAAAUAUAAAAACAUGUAAAUGGGAUAGAAGAACUCUAAAUUAAUGAUCAUCGCAAGCCUCGUGAUCAGGUGAUGAUGAUGAAUGAGUAGUUGGAACUCUAGAACUGCCUAUUCUAGCUGUAGCACCUGGGAUUAUCUCUUCUAACAAGGCGAGGAUAAGCUAAUUCUAGCCUUUCAAGUUAUGCACAGCUUUGUGAAGCUCGGUGUGUUCUCGUUGAGUCGUGUCUACACGAGAUGUAUGUGGAACCUUUGGAGCCCUGCCCAAACAACUAUAGCAGCAAAAAGUUGUGCAAGGACUUGAUUCACAAUGUCAUUAGCAGUGAGUUGUACUCCUUGGCUCUUACUCUUCAGUCUUCACUCCAUUAACAUGUGCUUGUUGUGUUGUCUGUAUGACAAGUCCUUCUACUUGACAAUGAAAAGUGUUGACACAAAUAAUGUAGAAUAAUAUUUAUUCCAUCAAGUAACACUAAGGUUAAAGACUUAUAGUAUUUGUUCAGUACAUAUAUCUCCUUAGUCAGAAGAUGGAUCCAACCUUUUGUAUCCUUGUAAUGUGUGUAAUGUAGGUGUUACAAAAAUAUGAUGUCAAUAACAAAAAACAAAAAUAGAAUUAAGAACUAAAUAAUAAUCAUAAAAUUACUUGUCUCUAUUGGCACAAUGACUAGUGCACACUAGAUGGUAGAUGCAGACUAUCUGCCAGGUUGAGUGAUCACUUGCAUGAUAGGUCCAUUCAUAGGUCUUGGGGACGGUGACUUCUUCGGUAGUAUUGGAAUAACCUGGAUUGGUGGAGAUUGAUUUGAAUGAAGAUUUUAAGUUGAAUAGUUCAAUGUGGUGACGAGAAGAGACGACAUAUAAAAAUAUUUACACACUCAACAUCAUAAAUUCAUGGGACUUGAAACUAAUUAAUGAUUUGAAAUAACCAUAUUUGACGAUCAUAAAACCAUCCAAAAGAAAAGUUACACACGAAAUUAGAUUUGAGCACACCAUAGCAAUCAUGCAUUUAUGUUGAAAAUUAAUUGUUGCAAGAAAAGUAACUAUGCAACAAUUACUUGAACUACAUCUUGUAAAUGGCUAUGUCAAAAUCUAAUUUCUUGUUUCGAUUUUUCAUAACCAUUCAAAAAUGCUAGAAAAAACUAUUCCUGUACAGGUAGUUGGUAUCUAGCACACAAAUAAUUAGGGAAUUAUGAAUAGAAGACAAAUUUAAAUUAUUCACCUGCAUCUUCUUUGAAUUAUCAAGCACAACUUUUUGAAAAAAUAUUAUCCUCAAACACAUGGUUGUUGUUUUACUAAUCUCUUUCUAUUCUGGUAACCAAGCCAGAGCUAUAAAAGUUCAACAAAGGGAAUAAUGGUAGCUUCAUACAUAAAAUGACCUGCACUCAAAUUUUGAAUCAUAUUUUUUUAGCAGAGAGCACCAAAGAUUGCAUGAGCCUUAGAAAUCUUUUGUUUCACUAUCACGUCACAAACCUUAACAAAAUGAGAAAUGAUUUUCAAGGAAAUGCAAGCUGAUGCUUACUUUAG
RNAcentral lists this long non-coding RNA (1631 nucleotides) under Olea europaea subsp. europaea. Lineage: Eukaryota; Viridiplantae; Streptophyta; Magnoliopsida; Lamiales; Oleaceae. The record is from RNAcentral.